Unclassified non-coding RNA from Aotus nancymaae (Ma's night monkey), 196 nucleotides. The record is from Ensembl. Lineage: Eukaryota; Metazoa; Chordata; Mammalia; Primates; Aotidae.
GGGGAGGGAGGCGUGGGAGCUGGUUUGCCGGGGCCACCCAGUGUGGGCUCAGGAAGGGAAGGAAUGUGACUGAGGCUGGGUGUGGCUGGGGAGAGCACAGCCAGUUGUGGGUUUUUCUUGGGGCCCAGAUAUAUGUGAGUGGAGCUGGAGGCCCCUCUCUCCCAGCCCCCAGCACACACACUAGGACCUUUCUUCA